UAGUAAGUUCUUCAGGAUAAAUAAUGAGUG
RNAcentral lists this non-coding RNA (30 nucleotides) under Rattus norvegicus (Norway rat). The record is from RNAcentral. Lineage: Eukaryota; Metazoa; Chordata; Mammalia; Rodentia; Muridae.